This 493-nucleotide ribosomal RNA is filed under the name uncultured bacterium. RNAcentral describes it as "bacterial SSU rRNA". It matches the Rfam family "Bacterial small subunit ribosomal RNA", at positions 903 to 1397 of the family's 1533-position model. The record is from RNAcentral.
AAAUGAAUUGACGGGGACUCGCACAAGCGGUGGAGCAUGCGGUUUAAUUCGAUGCAACGCGAAGAACCUUACCAGGCCUUGACAUACCAUUGACCGAUCUAGAGAUAGGUCUUCCCUUCGGGGCAAUGGAUACAGGUGGUGCAUGGUUGUCGUCAGCUCGUGUCGUGAGAUGUUGGGUUAAGUCCCACAACGAGCGCAACCCUUAUCAUUAGUUGCUAACAUUAAGUUGAGAACUCUAAUGAGACCGCCGGCGAUAAGCCGGAUGAAGGUGGGGACGACGUCAAAUCAUCAUGCCCCUUAUGGCCUGGGCUACACGCGUGCUACAAUGGCUAGUACAAAGAGUUGCAAUACCGCGAGGUGGAGCUAAUCUCAUAAAACUAGUCUCAGUUCGGAUUGUAGUCUGCAACUCGACUACAUGAAGUUGGAAUCGCUAGUAAUCGCAAAUCAGAAUGUUGCGGUGAAUACGUUCUCGAGUCUUGUACACACCGCCCGU